UAUUAGAGGCAUUGCCUGCCCAGUGACUAAAGUUAAACGGCCGCGGUAUCCUGACCGUGCAAAGGUAGCAUAAUCACUUGUUCCUUAAUUAGGGACUAGAAUGAAUGGCUAAACGAGGGUCCAACUGUCUCUUACUUUUAAUCAGUGAAAUUGACCUUCCAGUGAAGAGGCUGGAAUAUUACAAUAAGACGAGAAGACCCUAUGGAGCUUUAAUUUACUAGUUUAAUUUAUAUAAAAACAACCUAAUGGCUCAAAACAAAACAAAUAUAAACUAAAAAAUUUCGGUUGGGGUGACCUCGGAGAAUAAAAAAUCCUCCGAAUGAUUUUAGCCUAGACCCACAAGUCAAAGUAACUCCAGUAUCUCAUUGACCCAAUUAUUGAUCAACGGACCAAGUUACCCUAGGGAUAACAGCGCAAUCCUAUUCAAGAGUUCAUAUCGACAAUUAGGGUUUACGACCUCGAUGUUGGAUCAGGACAUCCCAAUGGUGCAGAAGCUAUUAAUGGUUCGUUUGUUCAACGAUUAAAGUCCUACGUGAUCUGAGU
RNAcentral lists this ribosomal RNA (543 nucleotides) under Bandicota bengalensis (lesser bandicoot rat). RNAcentral's name for it is "partial 16S ribosomal RNA". It matches the Rfam family "Bacterial large subunit ribosomal RNA", at positions 1844 to 2610 of the family's 2925-position model. Lineage: Eukaryota; Metazoa; Chordata; Mammalia; Rodentia; Muridae. The record is from RNAcentral.